Molecule: ribosomal RNA, 497 nt
Filed under: uncultured bacterium
Lineage: Bacteria
Description: partial 16S ribosomal RNA
Rfam family: Bacterial small subunit ribosomal RNA
Source: RNAcentral
GAUGAACGCUGGCGGCGUGCCUAAUACAUGCAAGUCGAGCGAACGGACGAGAAGCUUGCUUCUCUGAUGUUAGCGGCGGACGGGUGAGUAACACGUGGAUAACCUACCUAUAAGACUGGGAUAACUUCGGGAAACCGGAGCUAAUACCGGAUGAUAUUUUGAACCGCAUGGUUCAAAAGUGAAAGACGGUCUUGCUGUCACUUAUAGAUGGAUCCGCGCUGCAUUAGCUAGUUGGUAAGGUAACGGCUUACCAAGGCAACGAUGCAUAGCCGACCUGAGAGGGUGAUCGGCCACACUGGAACUGAGACACGGUCCAGACUCCUACGGGAGGCAGCAGUAGGGAAUCUUCCGCAAUGGGCGAAAGCCUGACGGAGCAACGCCGCGUGAGUGAUGAAGGUCUUCGGAUCGUAAAACUCUGUUAUCAGGGAAGAACAUAUGUGUAUGUAACUGUGCACAUCUUGACGGUACCUAAUCAGAAAGCCACGGCUAACUACGUG